This 346-nucleotide unclassified non-coding RNA is filed under the name soil metagenome. Its description in RNAcentral is "partial contains 5.8S ribosomal RNA, internal transcribed spacer 2, and large subunit ribosomal RNA". The stretch from base 1 to 120 matches the Rfam family "5.8S ribosomal RNA", at positions 35 to 154 of the family's 154-position model. The record is from RNAcentral.
GAUGAAGAACGUAGCAAAAUGCGAUAAGUAAUGUGAAUUGCAGAAUUCAGUGAAUCAUCGAAUCUUUGAACGCACAUUGCGCCCGCUGGUAUUCCGGCGGGCAUGCCUGUUCGAGCGUCAUUUCAACCCUCAAGCCCCCGGGUUUGGUGUUGGGGAUCGGCUCUGCCUUCUGGCGGUGCCGCCCCCGAAAUACAUUGGCGGUCUCGCUGCAGCCUCCAUUGCGUAGUAGCUAACACCUCGCAACUGGAACGCGGCGCGGCCAUGCCGUAAAACCCCAACUUCUGAAUAUUGACCUCGGAUCAGGUAGGAAUACCCGCUGAACUUAAGCAUAUCAAUAAGCGGAGGA